This 2166-nucleotide long non-coding RNA is filed under the name Sus scrofa (pig). Its description in RNAcentral is "lncRNA (ENSSSCG00015073920.1)". The record is from RNAcentral. Lineage: Eukaryota; Metazoa; Chordata; Mammalia; Artiodactyla; Suidae.
AAGGCUUUUCACUUUCCAUUUUUUCAAGGACACUUUUCCCUAUGACACCCCUGUGGUUUGUGUUUGGGGAGCUAUGUGUGCUUGCACGAUUUCAUCUUGUUAUAACUGAGAUGAAAACUUUUGUUCUCCAUGUUCUAACAUUCAAAUAAAAUUUAUUUAUUUAUUUAUUUUUGUCUUUUUAGGCCCGCACCCACGGCAUAUGGAGGUUCCCAGGCUAGGGGUCCAAUUGGAGCUGUGGCCACCCGCCUGCACCACAGCCACAGCAACACGGGAUCCGAGCCGCGUCUGCGACCUACACCGCAGGUCACGGCAACGCCGGAUCCUUAACCCACCGAGUGAGGCCAGGGAUCGGACCCACAUCCUCGUGGAUGCUAGUCCGGUUUGCUAACCACUGAGCCACAGCAGGAACUCCUCCAUCAAACUCAUCUUAAAGCAGCCCCUUUCCUAGCCAGGCAAAUCAGAGAAACUGUAAAAUACCUCACCUUGAUUUUUGACAUUUAUCUGUAGUUUUCUGUCGUUUUCAGCAUCAAAAGUGCUAUUAAUGUCAAUGGUUAUAGUGGUCAUUACCUCCACUGCACUCCUUCUCCGCCCGAGGAGGUGAGAGCAUUUUUUUAUCCCAUAGAAGUAUGUUAAAGUACAUAGUUAAAGUGGAUUUUAAGAUAUCACUUAAAUACCUCCCUAGCCCUAAAUAUUACAGAAAAAUGUAGUGUGUCAUAUAUCAUAAUAUAUAAUAUAUUAUGUGUUGUAUAUUAGUAUAGAAAUAGAUUGUACAUGAUAUAUAAUUUUCAAUUAUAAAUAUUCAAAUAGCAUCAGAAUACCAUGAACAAACUUUCCGUUGAAACUAAUUUUGGAGCAGAAAUGAAAACACUAGGGCGCAGAAUUCCCUGGCAAUUGACUUGUUGAACAGACAGUUACAAGUAGAAUAUCUCACAAGGAAAACUAGCAUCUUAGUGGCAUUCUCUGCGAGGCCACAGGCGUCAAGGUUACCGGGCUGAAACCUCAGGGAAAAUGGGUUGGAUCCAACUCUGUCCUUCCUCCUUUCAGGAUCCUUUUAAAAUAAGUGCAGGCUCGUUCUUGGACACUGGAGUUGAACAAAGGGAAGAGAAUGUCCAGAGUGGAAUUUUCUAUGCGGAGUCUAAGUCGUCUCGUUCAAUUUGUCUUUGGAAACGGAGCUCCUCCCUUUCCCGGGUGCUCAGCGGUGUUUAAUAUUCCGGACCGCAGGCUUCCCUGCUACCCUCUCUUUCUGUUUACCGUGGCCCCGCCCCGGAGAGGCAGAGUGCCCUGGCCACAGUCAACACUUAUAUAUUGAAAAUAUCGAUUACACGGGACGCUCUUCUUCUUCAAACAAAGUAAUGCCAGUGACUUCAAUCACUUUCCUGAUUUAUUUUAUUUCAGAGCCUUUGGAUCCUUUGGUUCCCAUAUCAUCUAUCGGUUCUCUGCUGCCUCUUCACCUCUAGUAAUGAAAACUAGGCUACGUGGCCUGCUGAGCCUAGAGCUUCCCGGGCAGCACGAUUGAUUACCCUCCGCUUCUGCUGGCGGGGGAGCCCUGGGCCUUCAAGGGGGGGGCCACAACCAGCAGCGUCAGGGUCUCCUGGCAACAGGCUUAAAAUGCAGAGUCUCAGGCCCCAGCCCACACCCUCUGACUCGGAAGCUUGGGGGUGAGCCCUGCCGUCUUUUUAACCCUCCUGAUGACUCUGAUGCCUCCUUGAGCCGGAGAGCCGUGCCGUGCAGCUCUGCCCGAAUCCUGACACCCAGCGGAUGUAACUAAGCAUUGAAAUCUCAGCAGGACCAGGGCCUCUCGGGCGUUUCUGCUGCCUGUGCUCUGAUGGAUGAUUCCAGUUCGUGGCCUGCUGCCUUGCACUGAUCACCGUGGCACUGGUCACCGUUUCUGAGGUUCUUUUCUAAUUCGUCAGGCUCAGUUGAACUCCUGCCCCUUCCAUCAGGAGCGUAUCACUGUCAUCCAGCACAUAGGUGCUGCUAGAUGAUGGCUUAAUGCAGGUAGAGAAAGUUUAAUGAGAGGGGAAAAGUCCAACCAGACCUCUUUCUUUCUUUUUCUUUCUUUCUUUCUUUCUUUCUUUCUUUCUUUCUUUUUCUUUUUUUUUUUUGGCCAAGCACAAGGCAGGUGCAAGUUCCCAGGCCAGGGACUGAACCCGAGUUACAGCAAUG